This 497-nucleotide ribosomal RNA is filed under the name uncultured bacterium. RNAcentral describes it as "partial 16S ribosomal RNA". It matches the Rfam family "Bacterial small subunit ribosomal RNA", at positions 28 to 507 of the family's 1533-position model. The record is from RNAcentral.
GAUGAACGCUGGCGGCGUGCCUAAUACAUGCAAGUCGGGCGAACGGACGAGAAGCUUGCUUCUCUGAUGUUAGCGGCGGACGGGUGAGUAACACGUGGAUAACCUACCUAUAAGACUGGGAUAACUUCGGGAAACCGGAUCUAAUACCGGAUCAUAUUUUGAACCGCAUGGUUCAAAAGUGAAAGACGGUCUUGCUGUCACUUAUAGAUGGAUCCGCGCUGCAUUAGCUAGUUGGUAAGGUAACGGCUUACCAAGGCAACGAUGCAUAGCCGACCUGAGAGGGUGAUCGGCCACACUGGAACUGAGACACGGUCCAGACUCCUACGGGAGGCAGCAGUAGGGAAUCUUCCGCAAUGGGCGAAAGCCUGAUGGAGCAACGCCGCGUGAGUGAUGAAGGUCUUCGGAUCGUAAAACUCUGUUAUUAGGGAAGAACAUAUGUGUAAGUAACUGUGCACAUCUUGACGGUACCUAAUCAGAAAGCAACGGCUAACUACGUG